GGCAAAACUUGAGUUUAAGAGGUGCUUGAAAUUUCUUUUUUGCUACGUAAAAUAAAGGAAAUGCUUCCAAAGAACCGGUCACCAGCCACGUGCCCAGAAUUUCUGCUGCUUUUUAAACACACACCACAUUCAUAACUGAUUGUAUCCCCCUAAGGUCCAACUAGCAAACCCCAGCUAUCGCUUCCGCUCUCCUUUUUGUGUCCUUUUUUUCUCCUUCUCCUUCCGCUCCUGCUUGGCUAACUUGUCCUUCUCUCGCUGGAGUUUGUCUUGCUCCUUCUUCUUCUGGAACUCAUCUCGCAGCAGCUCCCGCUCCAGCUUUCUGGCAUUCAGGACAUCCUCCACGUUGGUGUUUCGGAACAGCGAUUUUUCUGAUCCAAUAUUUACUGCUGUCGCAGUGGAGCUGUCCUGUUCAUCAUCACCAUCCUCUUCAUCCGUCACAUUGGCAUACUGGGCCAGGAGGGCCGCCUUCCUCUGCUUCUCCUCCUGAGAAAUCUCCUUUGGCUUCACGGUGAUCCUGGCCUGCUUCUCCAUCAUGCUGGCGAUCGCCUGGACCUCAUCUUCUUUUUUCUCUUUGGCGUCAACAAUCUGAGAUUCAGACCACUUCUCGACUACUUCCCUGCAAACAUCGUUUAAGAGAUCUUCUUCCAGGCAGGCCGCCAGCACCCCGCGCAGCGCCUCCAGCCGCUCCUCCUCGCUCUCCUCCUCCCGCAGCAGCCCCGCGAUGUACGCCCCGUACACCGCACGGUCCAACCCCAGCGCCUCGAGCCGGGCCGCCAGCCAGGCCCCGAAACCGCCCGGCCCCGCCGCCUCCACGCAGGGCGCCGCCAUCUUGCAGCGCUU
Molecule: long non-coding RNA, 840 nt
Filed under: Gallus gallus (chicken)
Lineage: Eukaryota; Metazoa; Chordata; Aves; Galliformes; Phasianidae
Source: RNAcentral